Molecule: long non-coding RNA, 3055 nt
Organism: Lolium perenne
Lineage: Eukaryota; Viridiplantae; Streptophyta; Magnoliopsida; Poales; Poaceae
Source: RefSeq, a predicted model, not a curated record
UUUGACGUCGCGUUUUAGGACGCGCCGGCGAAGCGGCGGCGGCGAAAAGGCUGGCGAGAGAGCCAGCCGCGACGACGGUGCCGACUCUCAAAAGAGAUCAACCGUUGAAACGGCUAGCGGCGGCGGAGAGGUGGGAGGCGCGGGAGGGAAGGCGCGACGAGAAAUAAAAGGCGCGAACCAACGGUUAUGGAAAUAGUCGCCUACAAGUGGGAGCCCGCGUCGCUUUUCGUUGUGUCCGGCGUGCCCGGAGCGUCCCCUGUCUAGCGGGGAUGGGCUCGGGAGCCAAACACCAUAUUGGGCUGCGCCGGACAAAAAAAAGGCUUUGGGGCACGCAGAUGGGAACGUUUUUUUAUCGCACCCCAAAUCCAUUUGGAGGACGCUUUAGGGGAUGCGGCUGAAGAUGCUCUAAUUAUUAUAUAUAAAGGACAGCUGAUUUCAAGCCCUUUCCUUAAUUUCGCCACUGUUCAUGGCUUGAUUUUCGUUCUCCCUGUCCAUACAUACCAUGACACGUAUCCUGUUUGCCGAUCUCCUUCUCAUGUGCUGGUAAUCGCUUUUUUUUCAAAGAUUUUGGUGACCGGCUACCGGUAUGUGCAGGUUUGGUGAUCUAUAUGGUGGAGAUCUCCGGUCUCCCGUAAUUUUUGGCCACGAAAAUCUCGAACAUUCGGUCAAAGCGGUAGUCGUAGGUGAAUAAAGCGGUGGCAAUUAAUCUGCACAACCGUUUUGCCCUCACUCCCUAUUUUUCUCUCUCAUCUGUUCUCUUCCUCCCAUUACCGCCGGCCAUAUCCUCCUGCUAGGUCCGGCGACCCGUACCGCCAUUCUGCCUACCGAGGCAGCUAUCAGGUGCACGCCUUCCUCUCUCUCUCCCAAGGAAGCUGAUGGUUUGGAGGAGAAGCUCAGCAGGCCUGCUCUCUUUUCUUAUAGGACUUCUUCCCCAAUUCCAGGGCAAGCGGCAAUACCGGCGUCUGGCCCUGGACGCGUCCUGGCUCCGUCGCGACCGGAAGCGGCCGCGUCAACGGGAUGCGGUGCAGGAUCGUGAAGGAAAAAAUCCGCUGGGUCGUUCUACGUUCUCCUAUCCCCUUCCUUAUUUUGCGUCUAAUCUUAUCUUCUUUCUACAGCGAUGGUGGCGGCUGCCGGCGGAGGAUUCAAGGUAGCGGGGGAGGACAUGCAUCCGUCGAGGAAAAAAAGAGGCAACGUCUGAACCAGGGGAGGAGAAUAGCAGAAGAACGUGACUAGGAAUCGGAGUGGCUGCACGCCGGCGAGCAGCAGAAUGAUAGACUAUGCACCGGCUCUGUACACUUCUUCUUCCCAGUAUGAGGAGGACGACCUGGAGCCUACCUUGCCUUGGAUGUGUUCAGCUUUCAGAUCAUCAAACACUCUAAGGUUCCCAUGUUCUUUUAUUUUCUCAUCCGGAUACACGGUACAGGUUUUGCUGCAAAUUGACAAUGUGUGUCCAAUAUAUUUUCUUUAUUUCUUCAUAGUUUCUUCUAUGAAUUGCAGAUCAGAUCCUCCUUAGUUUAUAGUUUACCCUUUCAUGAUUUCAUCCCAUUUCCCUCCUACCACUAGCUACAGAAGGCAGAAGUCAACCCUAUAAGAGUAUACUGAGCUAUGACGAGAAAAUGGUGCUGCAAUUGUUGGGCUAGCUUACCUCAUGAAUUGCUUUGGAAUUUGAUUGAAUUGUUGAACUUUGACGGUGUGCUUUGGUUGGUUAUUUUGCACCCUUUGAUAUAAAUGCUGCUGUGACACAGACUUCAGAUUCUACACUGAACGGUGAUAUGCUCUCAGUCCAACUAAGAAACUAAUGCAUUUCGUAUUCAUAAAUUCAGGUGUUCUGCAGAUUUAAGAGUAGUUUGGCUACAUGGGACAGUGGGUUCACAUUGUUGUAAUUAUUUCAGUUUGAGUAUGCAGUUCCACUCACAGGCAAGCAGCCAAGAAUCCGACUAUUGUUCUGUUGGACGCACUUGGUUGCUUCCUCUCCAUCAGCGUCAUCCGUUUUAGAGGUCAGAUACUCAUUUUUUAGAUUGGAGAAAGGCAAGAACCCAAACACAUGAAAGCAUAGAACCAAUAUGUGGAUAACUCAUUUGUGUAAGAUUAAUGGAUUUCUGAGAAAUCGGUUGUUGGUUUCUUGCUCUUUCUCAUCUAACAAUAAUUUUCAGGUCACUGAUCACAACUUUUUAAGUUAGUCACUCUGAUUUGACACUGCGGCGGCGGUGUUGUUGAGAGAGCCUUGCUAUGUAGGGAGGCAUUAUUUACCGUGGACUAAAGAUGGUUGGUGGGAUAAAGGAAAACACAAGUGAUGCAUUAUCUAUGGGGGCAGACAUUCAUCCUACAUCAUUGAGUUACUAUAUUUCAGAGCAUGUAUGCAGUGGAAGAAGAGCACAUCCUUCGAAUCUGAUUUUGGGUAGCUUGAUCUAUCAAGAGAAUAAUAGAAUGACAAGGUAACUGGACAGAAAAUGCCCUUCUACAGUUCCCCGAUCAACCCAAGAGCGUUAAACCGUUCUGACAGUGCCCCGUCCAGUUAAGAUGCAUCUACAAUAGAGUAUAAUCGCAGAACUAUAAAAUUUAUUCUGAAAAGAAUGUUGUACUAACAAUUUCAGUUCUGAUGUGCUUUGGUCUAUUUGGUGUGGUUGAGAAACGAAUUCAACUUUCAGAAAAUAAGCUGGACAAGCAUUGAUAUAAUCUGGAACAAGGUGGUGGCAGAUGCUAGAAGAUGAGCGAUGCUUGCAAUCAUUCUCACACUUCAGUGCUCGACAUGAACCUGAACCUGCUACUGGUAGCAGAAACAAUGUGCGAAUUAUUGUGAAUUGUGCCUACAUAUGAACUAUGCAAGUCUCAUGAAGAUGUUGGAGCGAUCCCCUCUUAUAAAUUAACUUUUCAGCUGGUUUUUCUUAAAUCUCAUGUGUGUGUUUCGCUUGAUGGGUCAGAUUUAAUAUCAUUUCUGUUUUUUUCUUGAUGGUUGAGAUUUAGAUUUGUAACUGAAUGUUGUGUGAGAUCUAUUCUGGUUACAUAUCAAUGGAACCUGGGGCGACCUCUAUUCUAGAAACACUGCUGGCGAAGA